GGCUUAGUGGAUGUUGGACUUGGGAUCUAGAAGACCAGGGUUCAAAUCCCUGCUCAGCCA
Molecule: transfer RNA, 60 nt
Filed under: Anolis carolinensis (green anole)
Lineage: Eukaryota; Metazoa; Chordata; Lepidosauria; Squamata; Anolidae
Rfam family: tRNA
About the family: Transfer RNA (tRNA) molecules are approximately 80 nucleotides in length.
Source: Rfam by way of RNAcentral